CCACGCCCAGGCUGCGGUCGCGCGUGUACAGGACGAUCAGGUGUCGCUGACGCGCGUCCACGCGCUUACUGAUGGUGCACGCGCCCUCCAGGCUCACGCUGAACUUGGGCGGCGCUCGGCCGGCGCGGAACUUCUUCUCGCUCUCGUAACACUCGAGGCGCUGCGGGUAGGCGCGGAGCACAAAGAAGCGGCGGCGCUGGGACUUCUGCUUCCGCAGGUGGCCGCAGAGCCGCACAUCAGCCGGGCAGGCCCAGGGCCGCGGCGGACCCAGGGCCAUGUCGGCCGACUCGAACUCCGGGGUCGUCGUGGGGCCUCCGGGCUUCAUCCCAGACCCAAAGCAGUAAAGUGUCCGGAGCAGGGGCUGGGACGGCAGAGGAGGGGUAGACGUAGCGGCCCCCGGAGAGGGGGGCGGCAUCCUGACAGGCGACCACCCGUCUUGAUGCCCAGCGUCUUUCCCCCCACUCCCGACUUGAAGUUUGGGGCAGGGGGUCCGCACCGUGUGCCCCAGUGGCUGCCCGGUGGCCUGAGACACCCGAGCCUCCGACAGACUCUGAGGCUUGACCCCUGCGCCUCCCGUCGCCUCCUCUCCUGUCCUCUCCCCUCCCUCCCAGCGCGGAUCGAGCCGAAGUCCCCACCCCUGCGAGGUUAACCCUUGCGCGCCCCGGAGCUGGACGCCGGGCGGUGGGAGUGGAGUGUGAGUGGGGAAAUCCAGGAGAGGCGGCCUCCGCCUCACCCCACCCCGUGUCCUGGGACUGGGCUUUUGCAGGGGCGGGGGUGGGGUGGCGUCUCUACUGGUCUGAGCUGCCGGCCGGCCGAGAAAGCGGCGACGUGAGGCGAGUGUGCGUGGAGCCACGUCUGUGGUGACCGCGCUGGUGGCGUCUGCAGUCCUAGAGGUAAUCCCAGGAGCCAGGGCUACGGAGCACUGGCCUAUGCUGAUCUUGGAGGAGAUGGAGGUUCAGUUUCUCUGCGGGGUUGGGGCCAUAGGAGGUGUCUUGGGAGGCAGCCGCCAGUGACCUGCUGAAGGCUGGGGUCAAGCCAGAGGACUGUUGCCUGCAGAGCACUGUCACAGCAUUGGCCAGGGGGACAUGAGCACUUGGUCAGAAGCCUGGUGGCAGUCUGAGGUCCCCAAUUUCCUCUUGGCCUUAGAUCCCCUCCCUGGGUCUCUACACGCAAGACUCACCUCCAAAGGAGAGCCCUGUGCUUCCACCUCCACCAGUGGUGGCCGACUGGAGCGUGGGGACCUGGCUGGCCAUCCCGAACAUGCUGUGAUAUGGGGAGAAAAGUCGGCGUGCACAUCAUCUAGCACCAAGGAGGUGAGCUGGGCAAGGAACUAGGAGAUGGCAAACUCUGUCCUGCCGGACGGGAGGAGCCGAGGGGGCUGGUAUAAGCAAGGCCAGGCUUUCCUGGCCGGCUCUCCUGCCCGAUGGCAAGCUCCCCAACAUCUGGACCUACCUGCUAGGGAUGCCUCCAGCUGAUGCCCCGGGUCCCAGGAGGCUGCCCGUAUCUGCAAGGCUGUCGGGCUGACUGGCAGGUGCCAGAGGAGAGGCACCAAAUGGAGUCCCCUGGCUGCUCCCUGGGCAGGCACAGGAAGUAA
Molecule: non-coding RNA, 1594 nt
Organism: Delphinapterus leucas (beluga whale)
Lineage: Eukaryota; Metazoa; Chordata; Mammalia; Artiodactyla; Monodontidae
Source: RefSeq, a predicted model, not a curated record